Long non-coding RNA from Protopterus annectens (West African lungfish), 316 nucleotides. RefSeq lists it as uncharacterized. The transcript has 2 exons. The record is from RefSeq and is a predicted model, not a curated record. Lineage: Eukaryota; Metazoa; Chordata; Ceratodontiformes; Protopteridae.
UGGAAAUAAAGCUGAAAAUGAAACUAGAAGAAAAAGUAACUGGGUUUUUUUGGGCUGUUUUUUUCCAUCUUUUAUGCAUCUAAAGACUUGAAAAAAUGAUGAAGAAAUCCACAUUUCCUGCAUUCCCUAUUGAUGUUACCUUUCCAUGCUGAUAACCCAUCUUAAAAACUAUGCUGUCUGCUGAAAAGAGUGCUUCUUAUUUUUAACUCUGUUAUCACAAUUGAGCAAAUCAUUGUUUUUUUUGUUGCUGUAUGAUUUGAAGCUUUCAUCGAAUUAAACUGAGUCUUGAAAUAAAUAUUUUGUUGGUAUGAGCAUA